CAGAUCUUGAAGUCACGAAUAGGUAGAGGUCAGUAGGGACAACUCAGUUCCCCCUCCAAGCAAAGGAGUUACUAUGGAGAGGGGGUGCUCCA
Molecule: non-coding RNA, 92 nt
Organism: Notechis scutatus (mainland tiger snake)
Lineage: Eukaryota; Metazoa; Chordata; Lepidosauria; Squamata; Elapidae
Source: RefSeq, a predicted model, not a curated record